This 468-nucleotide ribosomal RNA is filed under the name uncultured bacterium. RNAcentral's name for it is "partial 16S ribosomal RNA". It matches the Rfam family "Bacterial small subunit ribosomal RNA", at positions 28 to 507 of the family's 1533-position model. The record is from RNAcentral.
GACGAACGCUGGCGGCGUGCUUAACACAUGCUAGUCGAACGGAAAGGCCCUGCUUUUGUGGGGUGCUCGAGUGGCGAACGGGUGAGUAACACGUGAGUAACCUGCCCUUGACUUUGGGAUAACUUCAGGAAACUGGGGCUAAUACCGGAUAGGAGCUCCUGCUGCAUGGUGGGGGUUGGAAAGUUUCGGCGGUUGGGGAUGGACUCGCGGCUUAUCAGCAUGUUGGUGGGGUAGUGGCUUACCAAGGCUUUGACGGGUAGCCGGCCUGAGAGGGUGACCGGCCACAUUGGGACUGAGAUACGGCCCAGACUCCUACGGGAGGCAGCAGUGGGGAAUAUUGCACAAUGGGCGGAAGCCUGAUGCAGCAACGCCGCGUGCGGGAUGACGGCCUUCGGGUUGUAAACCGCUUUCGCCUGUGACGAAGCGUGAGUGACGGUAAUGGGUAAAGAAGCACCGGCUAACUACGUG